This 123-nucleotide unclassified non-coding RNA is filed under the name uncultured Archaeorhizomyces. RNAcentral describes it as "sequence contains ITS2". The record is from RNAcentral. Lineage: Eukaryota; Fungi; Ascomycota; Archaeorhizomycetes; Archaeorhizomycetales; Archaeorhizomycetaceae.
AACACCAUACACCUCAAAUGGGGAGUGUAAUGGGCGUCGUCCCAGGGCGUAGCCUCAAAGUCAUCGGUCUUAUACGUGGACGAGCUCCGUUUGGACGGGCCAUGUGUGGACUUUAAACCUCUG